AACGAACGCUGGCGGCAUGCCUAACACAUGCAAGUCGAACGAGACCUUCGGGUAUAGUGGCGCACGGGUGCGUAACGCGUGGGAACCUGCCCUUAGGUUCGGAAUAACUCCCCGAAAGGGGUGCUAAUACCGGAUAAUGUCUUCGGACCAAAGAUUUAUCGCCUUUGGAUGGGCCCGCGUUGGAUUAGCUAGUUGGUAGGGUAAAAGCCUACCAAGGCGACGAUCCAUAGCUGGUCUGAGAGGAUGAUCAGCCACACGGGGACUGAGACACGGCCCAGACUCCUCCGGGAGGCAGCAGUGGGGAAUAUUGGACAAUGGGCGAAAGCCUGAUCCAGCAAUGCCGGGGGAGUUAUGAAGGCCUUAGGGUUGUAAAGCUCUUUUACCCGGGAUGAUAAUGACAGUACCGGGAGAAUAAGCCCCGGCUAACUCCGU
Molecule: ribosomal RNA, 432 nt
Filed under: uncultured bacterium
Lineage: Bacteria
Description: partial 16S ribosomal RNA
Rfam family: Bacterial small subunit ribosomal RNA
Source: RNAcentral